GAGUUUGAUCCUGGCUCAGAACGAACGCUGGCGGCAGGCUUAACACAUGCAAGUCGAACGCGUGUAGCAAUACACGAGUGGCGCACGGGUGAGUAACACGUGGAUAUCUGCCUUUUGGUUCGGAAUAACCCUGGGAAACUAGGGCUAAUACCGAAUGGUUCCUACGGGAUAAAGAUUUAUCGCCAAAAGAUGAGUCCGCGUCCGAUUAGCUAGUUGGUGAGGUAAUGGCUCACCAAGGCGACGAUCGGUAGCUGGUCUGAGAGGACGAUCAGCCACACUGGGACUGAGACACGGCCCAGACUCCUACGGGAGGCAGCAGUGGGGAAUAUUGGACAAUGGGGGCAACCCUGAUCCAGCCACGCCGCGUGGAGGAUGAAGAUCUUCGGGUCGUAAACUCCUUUCGAUCGAGACGAAUGGCCUCCGGGUUAAUACUCCGGAGGAAUGACGGUACCGAGAGAAGAAGCCCCGGCUAACUCCGUGCCAGCCGCCGCCGUAAC
RNAcentral lists this ribosomal RNA (497 nucleotides) under uncultured Alphaproteobacteria bacterium. RNAcentral's name for it is "bacterial SSU rRNA". It matches the Rfam family "Bacterial small subunit ribosomal RNA", at positions 9 to 524 of the family's 1533-position model. The record is from RNAcentral. Lineage: Bacteria; Pseudomonadati; Pseudomonadota; Alphaproteobacteria.